CCGGCUGGGAUCCCUCGAUCGUUCCGCACGCUUAGAGUUCGGGACAUCUCCUCCUAGCACAGUCCGGGACUCUAUAUUCAGCUGUGUCAUUAGGCUGGACCUGCCGGGUGUCCCCGGGCCCCCAGCGCGCCAGACGCGCAGCAGGUGCACUGCCGCCGGGUGUAGGAGUGAGGGAGCCGAACGAGCGUUCCCCCGGCGCGCAGCCUUGGUGGGGGUAGGAAGGCCGCACUCGCAGUCGCCGCCCCCCACCCCCACCCCCACCCCCGGGACCCCGCGGCGCCCUCCGCUCCCCCACGCGGCGCCGGAAGCGGCCCGCCCGUCCCCCUCCCCGGGGCGCCCGCCGCCUUAUCUCGGCGCCUCCGGGCCGCAGGAGGAGUCGCGGGCGCGCGGGGUGGGAAGUGGCGGUGGUAUGGCCCGGGGGCCCCGGGGCGCGGGCUUCCCGCCUGGCCGCCUGCUGUCGCUCCUGCUGCUGCUGCUGCUGCUCUGCCUGGCCCGCGGCGCGCCCCGGACGCCCGGCGCAGACGAUUCAGAUGUCUGUGCCAGUUGCCAUAAACAUGCUACGUGUGAGCAAAGAGAAGGAAAGAAGAUGUGUAUUUGCAAAUAUGGAUUUGUGGGCAAUGGGAGGACUCACUGUAUUGAUAAAAACGAGUGCCAGUUUGGAGCCACCGUGGUCUGUGGGAACCACACAUCUUGCCACAAUACACUUGGAGGCUUUUACUGCAUUUGCUUAGAAGGAUAUCGAGCCACCAACAACAACAAGACGUUCAUCCCCAAUGAUGGCACCUUUUGCACAGACAUAGAUGAGUGUGAGGUUUCCGGCCUGUGCAGGCACGGAGGACGGUGUGUGAACACUCAUGGGAGCUUUGAAUGCUACUGUAUGGACGGACACCUGCCGAAGAGCGGGCCUGAGCCUUUCCAUCCCACCCGAGAUGCCACGUUAUGCACAGAAAUAGACUGCGGCACCCCUCCUGAGGUCCCAGAUGGCCAUAUCAUAGGAAAUUAUACCUCCAGGUUUGGCAGCCAGGUUCGUUAUGCUUGCAAGGAAGGAUUUUUCAGUGACCCAGAAGAUACAGUUUCAAGCUGCACAGCCUCGGGCACAUGGGAGUCCCCAAAAUUAAAUUGCCAAGAGAUCAACUGUGGGCGCCCUCCGGAAGUGCCGCACGCGGUCCUGGUGGGCAAUCACAGCUCCAGCCUGGGUGGUGUGGCUCACUACGUCUGUCAAGAGGGCUUUGAGAGCUCUGGAGGAAAGAUCACUUCCGUUUGCACAGGGAAAGGCACCUGGAGAGCAAGUGCUUUCACGUGUACAGAAAUAAUUAUAGAAAUUAAUGACUUAGCAGUAUUUAAUAACACCUGCGUGAGAUGGCAAAGAAACCCAAGAAGAAUAAACUCUGAGCUCGUGUAUGAGAUACACAUAAAAGGACAACGGUUGGAUCCAAUGGAAUCAGUUCACGAGGAGACAGUUAAUUUGACCACGAACAGCAGGACCCCGGAAGUGUGCCUGGAUCUGCACCAGGGCACCAACUACACCGUGAGCAUUUCUACCACCCCUCCCAGGCGCUCUGUGCCAGCCGUCAUUGCGUUCCAGACAGCUGAAGAUGACCUCUUAGAAGAUGAUGGAAUUUUCAAUAUUUCAAUGUUUAAUGAAGCUUGUCUGAAAUUGCACAGGCAUUCUAGGAAAGUUGGAUCAGAACAGGUGUACCAAUUUAAAGUUCUGGGUCAAAGGCAGUAUCUGAAUAAUUUUUAUCACUCAACAUCAUUUAACUUCACAACGAGGGAACGAGCUGCCGUCCUGUGUUUAGAUCUGUAUCCGGCAACUGAUUACACAGUGAAUGUCACCCUCCUGGGAUCCCCCGAGCGGCACUCAGUGCAAAUAACGACAACCACCGCACCAGCAGUAAAACAGACCAUCAGUAACAUUUCAGUAUUUAAUGAAACCUGCUUGAGAUGGAGAAGCAUGAAGACAGCUGAUAUAGAGGAGAUGUAUUUAUUCCGCAUUCGAGGCCAGAGAUGGUAUCAGAAGGCAUUUGCCCAGGAAGUGAUCUUUAAUAUCACUGCCAGCAGCCAAACUCCUGAGACGUGUUUGGACCUGAGUCCAGGUACCAACUACAGUAUCAGCAUCCAGGCUUUGUCUUCUGAACUUCCCGUGGUCAUCUCCCUGACAACCCGGAUAACAGAGCCUCCCCUUCCGGAAAUAGACUUUGUCACUGUGCACGGAGGGCCUCUACCGCGUCUGAGACUGAGGAAAGCCGAGGAGAUAAACGGGCCUAUCAGUUCAUAUCAGGUGUUAGUGCUUCCCCUGGCCCUCCAAAGCACAUUUGUUUGUGAUUCUGAAGAGGCUCCCUCCUUCUUUAGCAAUGCUUCUGAUGCCAAAGGAUAUGUGACUGCAGAACUGCUGGCCAAAGACAUUCCGAAUGAUGCCAUGGAGAUAUCUAUCGGAGACAGGCUAUACUAUGGGAAAUAUUAUAACGCACCCUUGAAAAAAGGGAAUGAUUACUGCAUUAUAUUGCGAAUCACAAGUGAACUGAAUAAGAUUCAUCACUGACGCUGCAGCAGGUGGUGGGCGUUGGGCUGGGCUCCAUGGCUGCUGUGAUUGUUCUCGCAUUCCUCUCCUUCUCAGCAGUGUGAUCGAGGAUGGGUGUGGCGUGAAGAGGAUGCACUGCUGCUGGGGUAGAUGUUCCGACAGCUUCUCAGGUGCCUGCACAGAGGCCCCGAGCAUGUGUGUGUGCGUGUGCGUGUGUGUGUGCGUGCGUGUGUGUGUGUGUGUGCGGGCCUGCACCUUUCUCUACUCCCAGGCUGGCCUCCCUUCCAGAUUCAAGCCGGUGACUGUCUCUUUGGAAUGUCCCUCAAAGAGGACACUCAGGAGUCGCUGUUGUCUGCCCUGCUACCUGACCAGUUCCGUUUCCAUGGACUUGAGAACCUUGAUAAACAACGUCAUAUGGACUCCGGGCUACGGGUCACAGGGGCUGGGUCACUGUUCUCCUCUGAGUGAUGCCUGAGCCUCGGCUCCUCUAGGUGCUGAAUGCAAGAGUCCCACAUCUUCCUCUGUAACAUCUCUGGCCUUAAUUCAGAAUCCAUUCUUUUACCAUAAGUAACGAGAGAGACUUAACUGUGGGCUAGAAUUUGACAUUAUGAAGGAAGUCAUUGAAAAGGAGAGAGAUCAUUGAUAUAGACAAACAUGACAAACCCUUUAGAAGCCCUUUUCCUACAGUUAGUGGAUGCAGUAAUUAGAAAGUAUGCGCGUCUGGCCACUCGGGUAAAUUCCCUGCAGUGUCUGUUAGGCAGCGUUGCUUUGAUACAGCUCUGUUUGUCUUAUAUGCAUUCAAAAGCCAGGAGUCUUCAUUCCAGUGGAAAUGUUUUGUUAGUAAACUAACAUUUUUUUUUUCUCACAUGAAUGUUUAUAGCAGCCUAGGCUACUUUUUUUUUUUUUUUUUUUUAAUUCCUGAGCAUCUCCUAAAGAUGCUCUGUGCCUCCCUUUGGAUUUGGGGGUUGUGCGGUAUCCUUGUGUUGCAACAAUAUGAAGCCCAUGACCAGAGUCUGUGAGUUGACAGGGGAGGGGAACAAUGUGGGUGACACAAUGGUCCCUUUUAUCUACAACACCAGGAAUUAUGACUGUUCCUUUAUCAUGAACCAUGACAUGUUAGCUGUAUGCAGUCCCGGGGCCCACUGUCAAUAUGUGGAAUGUACAGGUGGAAUGGAUUCGCUUUGAUUUUUCAAGCCUGAAUCAGUGUUCAUGAACUUUCCUCCCUAACCAACAGCGUAGCUCCAAGGCUAAGCCAGGGAAUGAAGGGAGAAGAAGGACUGGGGCUUGGGGCUUCUCUAAGUGACAGUGGUGUCCUCCUCUGCCUUCUCCCUCCCUCUUAGGCCUAGAGAAUAGAGAACAGGUGGAGGUGGGGGGGCAGUGAUAGUGCAUAGCUCAGGGUGCAGCAUCUAUGAAUGUGGUCCUGGACUUGGCAGCAGCACAGUGUGGAGGAAAAGGGACCGUCUUUCCAACAUGGUGGGCUGGCAUGUUCUCCGUGGACUCACUGGGCAUUGGUGAGGGGUGGAUCUGAGCAGCCUGGGCUUGUGGGCAGAUGAGGAGACAUGAGGAACAGUAGGCACAGGAGGAGGAGAUGCUCCAUGAAGCUGCCCAUCCCUGGGGGAUCUGGCCCAAGGCAAAUCCUCUCAACUGGGAAGAGUCAGAGACAGGGAAGUGAUAUACUGACGCUUGGGCAUUCGAGGGCAGGUGGCAGCCCUGCCCCUCACCAAUACUAGGCAGAUUAAGAAUAGCUGUCCUCUGUCCUCUGAGGUCCCAACUCAGACUACAACUCAGGAUCAACACAUGGAACCCUUCCUGCUGUCGUCUUCGAUGAAUUAUUGGGUAGAACUUUCAAUGGACUUAUACAAAGAGCUUUCUACCUUUAAUGUUCAUGUGCAACAAUUCAAACUCAUACUGUUUUCACUGCUCUUGAAUUAAUUUUUUAUUUUUAAUUUUUUAUUAUAGUUGAUUUACAAUGUGCUAUCAAUUUCUGCUGUACAGCAAAAUGACCCAGUUAUAUAUAUGUGUGUGUAUAUAUAUAUAUACACACACACACACAUUCUUUUUCUCAUAUUAUCUUCUAUCAUGUUCUAUCACAACUGACUGGAUAUACAGCAGGACCUCGUUGCUUAUCCAUUCUAAAUGUAAUAGUUUGCAAAUCUACUAACCCCAAACUCCCAGUCUAUCUCACUUCCUCCCCCUUACCCCUGGCAACCACGAGUCUGUUCUGUAUGUCCAUGAGUUUUUUUCUGUUCUCUCGAUAGGUUCUUUUGUGCCAUAGUUUAGAUUCCACAUAUAAGGGAUAUCAUAAGGUAUCUGUCUUCCUCUUUCUGACUUACUUCACUUAGUACGAGAAUCUCUACUUCCAUCCAUGUUACUGCAAAUGGCAUUGUUUCCAUGGCUUGGCUAUUGCUAAUAGUGCUACAGUGAACAUAGGGGUGCAUGUAUCUUUUACAAUGAAAGUUUUGCCUAAAUGUAUGCCCAGGAGUGGGAUUGCUGGAUCACAUGGUAGAUCUAUAUUUAGUUUUCUGAGGUGCCUCCAUACUGUUUUUUUUUUUUAAAUUAAAUUUAGAAUCAUGGGAGUUCCUGUUGUGGUGCAGCAGAAAUGAAUCUGACUAGGAACCAUGAGGUUGCGGGUUCGAUCCCUGGCCUCACUUGGUGGGUUAAGGAUCCCGCGUUGCUGUGGCUGUGGUGUAGGCUGGCGGGUACAGCUCCAAUUAGACCCCCUAGCCUGGGAACAUCCAUAUGUCAUGGGUGCGGCCCUAUAAAGACAAAAAUAAAAAAAAUAAAAAAGAAUAAAUAAAUUUAGAAUCAUUACAAAUUAUUGUGCUUAGUAUUGGGUAGAGUCUUUGAUGAGUAAGGAUUUUCCUCAAAACCUCCUCUGUCCAAAGAGAGAAUGUGAGCCUCUGCCCCUUAUUAUAGUUUUUCCUGGUUCUAUAAACACUAUGUUUCUCUAGUUCCCCUAAUUUCCAGUUUUAAAAUUAAUUACCAAAGAAGCUAUAGCUUCUCUCCAAAAGUUAGCAUAAUUGUCAUUGAAAGGAAGAAAUCCCAUUUGCUUGGUAUCAAAAGUUUUUGGUUAAAAUAAUUGACUAAAUAUUAAUAAAGUAUAUUUCUGGGUAUAUGCAGAAGUGUAAAAACAGUUCAUGAAUGAGUUCUGAAAUAGCAAAACAUAAACUUGUCCCUUUCUCUAAAUGGUCCAAGUUAUAACACAGAGUUAUACAGUGUUUUUUUAUUAAAAAUUUUUUUUUUUUAUGGCCACACCUGUAGCGUAUGGAUCAAAUCUCAGCCAUAGUUGUGACCUAUGCCACAAAUGCUGCAAUGCCAGCGCCGGGCUGGGGAUUGGAUCCGCAGCUCCAUAUUGACCUGAGCUGCUGCAGAUGGGUUCUUAACCACUACACCACAGAGGGAACUCCUUUCAAUUUUUUUUUUUUAAACUUUGAACUGUUAGUACUUAACAGAAGCAGGUGCUGAGCAUUUGCACCAUUUUCCUGCAUUUCUUUUCUGUUUGUUUUCUUAUGCACAUGAAGGCAGCUUUAAGUUCUGUGAAGUUGCCCAGUAGCUUGACCUCAAUGCUGUUCUUUUUCUUUUCCAAGUGGAUUCCUGGUUAAGGCAGGGAGAGCAUCUCUGGAGACCAAUAGUGGGUCUCCCUAGGAGCAGGCAGGGUACCUCUGUUGAAGGACUGAUCAGGCAGCAUUUGAAGUUGGGUUUUGAGUGCUGCUAAAUAAAGCUAGAGCCUCAGGUGGUGGUGGAGGAUGGACCUUUUCCUAAUUAACUGUCUUGGGGACAGUGUGAAGAGGUGAGUCUAAGAUCUGGUCUUGAGCUCCCUUCUAGAAUAGGGAACCAAACUGGGAGGUUGUCCAGAUAUGGGGCAGAUUGUUCCCUGGUGGAUUUCUUUUUUAAAAAUCUCCACCAUAGUUUUCAUUUAUAUUUGUUCUUUCAUUCCAUCCUUAUGGUUGUUCUGUGUGAUGGGAAGUUUAGGGGUUGUCAUUUCCCUAUUUUAGAAUGGAGAGAUGGGUUCAGACAGAUACAUAACUUUAUUUUUCCUUUUUUUUUUAGGGCCGCGCCCACAGCAUAUGGAAAGUCCCAGGCUAGGGGUCGAAUCAGAGCUGCAACUGCUGGCCUGCACCAUAGCCAUAGCAAUGCAGGAUCCGAGCUAUGUACCACAGCUCCUGGCAAUGCCAGAUCCUUAACCCACUGAGUGAGGCCAGGGAUUCAACCUGCAUCCUCAUGGAUCCUAGUCGGGUUUGUUACCACUGAGCCACGAUGGGAACUCCCAGAAAGAUACGUAACUUAAAUGAUGGGGCCAAGUAUUUUGCCUGCAAGUUCAGUUCUCAUUCCUGGGAUUUGACAGGAUUCUUUUGGUUCUUAGGAGAGUCAGGCCUUUACUUUUCCAAAUUAUAUAUAUUUUAAAGCAUCGCAUUUAUUCUUCCAGCACCUCUGUCUUUUUAUACUUCUUUUUUCACGGUAAUGUACCUUCCCCCAUCACUUCUAGAAAGAGCCACAGACAACCCAAAUAGAUGGAGGUUAAUUAGGGAAAAUAAGUGUAAUCUGUCCAUGACUCCAGACCUAAAAUUGCAGCUGGGCCCUUAAGAUUAAGACCAGAGCAGAAGUAUUUAUCUUGAAAUACCACAGUAGCUUGGAAUAAAGUUAAUAUUUAAAUUGAUUUUAAAGGAAGUAAAAAAAAACAAUUCUCAAUGCUCCCUUUUUAUUGCUAAUCUCAUAUUCUGAUUUUCUUAACCUUUUAUUUUUCCAUUCUCUAACAAAGAGAGAACCCGUGGUAGUAGCAGUCACAAGUGUUUUGAGGACCUUUUGUCCACCACAGCCAUUGCUGGUUAAACUUAAGUGCCCAGUUUUGGCAUGGCUUUUCCGUGCCCAAUUGCGGGUAGGCGAUGCGGUGAGCCAAAUCAAUUAAAAGGGCAGUGUAUACCCAUUGUAUUAGGUGGGAGAGAAAGAGAAUGAAUGAGUGAUUUUGUGUGUGUGUGUCCAUAUCCAUACUUUUGGGGCACAACUCAGGGUUACCAAAACGGGGUCCCACUAGGCAUGUAGUUUGUAACACAUUUCUUUUCAUCCAUCAACCUACCUUGGACACAUUCUUCAUGUCAGUAAUGACAGCAUUAGGAGUUCCCGUUGUGGCGCAGUGGAAACGAAUCCGACUAGGAACCCUGAGGUUGCAGAUUUGAUCCCUGGCCUCGCUCAGUGGGU
This is an RNA transcript of Sus scrofa (pig), 7717 nucleotides long. It is a transcript of the gene named sushi domain containing 1, with no coding region annotated. The record is from RefSeq and is a predicted model, not a curated record. Lineage: Eukaryota; Metazoa; Chordata; Mammalia; Artiodactyla; Suidae.